GAUGAACGCUGACAGAAUGCUUAACACAUGCAAGUCAACUUGAACUUCGGUUUGGGUGGCGGACGGGUGAGUAACGCGUAAAGAACUUGCCUCACAGCUAGGGACAACAUUUGGAAACGAAUGCUAAUACCUGAUAUUAUGAUUAUAUGGCAUCGUAUAAUUAUGAAAGCUAUAUGCGCUGUGAGAGAGCUUUGCGUCCCAUUAGCUAGUUGGAGAGGUAACAGCUCACCAAGGCGAUGAUGGGUAGCCGGCCUGAGAGGGUGAUCGGCCACAAGGGGACUGAGACACGGCCCUUACUCCUACGGGAGGCAGCAGUGGGGAAUAUUGGACAAUGGACCGAGAGUCUGAUCCAGCAACUCUGUGUGCACGAUGAAGUUUUUCGGAAUGUAAAGUGCUUUCAGUUGGGAAGAAAAAAAUGACGGUACCAACAGAAGAAGUGACGGCUAAAUACGUG
Molecule: ribosomal RNA, 454 nt
Filed under: uncultured bacterium
Lineage: Bacteria
Description: partial 16S ribosomal RNA
Rfam family: Bacterial small subunit ribosomal RNA
Source: RNAcentral